Molecule: long non-coding RNA, 268 nt
Filed under: Musa acuminata (dwarf banana)
Lineage: Eukaryota; Viridiplantae; Streptophyta; Magnoliopsida; Zingiberales; Musaceae
Description: long non-coding RNA (MACU_LNC009383)
Source: RNAcentral
UUAUCAAUUGGUAUCAGAGCAACGAUAAGACUUUAGGGUCUUAUCAUUUGGUAUCAGAGCAACGAUCCUUGGCGCAGCCCGCCGCAGCCUUGCUUCCCUUCUUCCCCACCACCACUACAAGGCAACUCUUUCUUCACCAUUGUCACUGUUUCCUCAGCCAGUGACCUUCGACCACCGCUCGACCUCCUCGCUGCCCCAUCUCGUUAAAAACAAAAAAAAAGAAUGAAAAAAGAAAAGAAAAACACGAGAGGAAGAAGAAGCCGCAACC